RNAcentral lists this long non-coding RNA (2838 nucleotides) under Canis lupus familiaris (dog). Its description in RNAcentral is "lncRNA (ENSCAFG00000057874.1)". The record is from RNAcentral. Lineage: Eukaryota; Metazoa; Chordata; Mammalia; Carnivora; Canidae.
AGGGGAGGGUGGAGAGGGAGAGGGGUGGUGGGGGGACCCAGGGUGGGGGCAGAGAGGCCGAGUGUGGGCAGCAGGGACUCCGACGUCACCGAGGGAGCCCCUGAGCCCCUGGCUCAGGACUUUGGGGGCAAAGCCCUUAAGGCGGGGGCGUGGAGGCGACAGCCCGUCCACCCGGUGUCCGCGACCCCUCCCCCCCCCCCCCCCCCCCCCCCGGGCCUGCCCGCCGCGGGGUCGCCGGAGGGGGCGGGACGGUCGCGCUCACCUGCGGGGGUCGCAGUCCCUGCGCGGGUCGGACUCAGGCUUCGGGGUCGGGGUCGGGGUCGGGGAGUGGGCGGGGGUCGGGCUCCGGGUCUGGACUGGACUCCGGGUUGGGGUCCGCCUCCGGGUCGGGGUCGGGGUCGGGGUCGGGGUCGGGGUCGGGGUCGGGGUCCGGGUCCGGGUCCGUGUCGGGGUCGGGGUCUGGCUCCGGGUGAGGGUCGGGGUCGGGGUCGGGGUCGGGGUCAGGGUCGGGGUCGGGGUCAGGGUCGAGGUGGGGGUCCAGGUCGGGGUCCGAGCGCAGCGGGGUGAAGGCUGCAGCCGUUAUGCGGGAUCUCGGUGGAGCCCGGGGAGGAGGCGGUUGCGGGGGGCGAGCCGAGGGGGCGCGCCGGGGCUGCGGAUUGGCCGGAGCUUCUGCCCCGCCCCGCCCCCGCCCCUCCGGCUCGGCCCCGCCCUCUCCCCUCCCCUCCCCUCCAGUUCCUGCCCCGCCCCCGCCCUGUCCCCUCCCCUCCACCCACCCUCCUCCAUCCCUGCCGCGUCGGCCCCGCCCCUCCCCCGCCCCCGGGUGCCCACUCCAGAGGGGAGGAGCGAGGCUCUCGGGCUUGCGGCAGGUGGGCUGGCCGGCCCCUGGUUCGCAGCCUGCCGAGGUGCGUGGACCCUGGGAUUGCGCACCUGCCCGGGGCUUCGGCCUCCUGGGCUUGCAGCCGUCGGGGGUCGCCCGUCGGGGUCGUUCCGAGCCGGAGGGGGAGCGCGUGGCCUCGGAGAAGCCCCCGCGAGGUCGCGCCCCCGCCCUGGGCGCGAGCUGGACCCCGUUUGCCGGGCUCCGGCCCCGCCCCUGCGCAGCCAACGGCGCAGCCCGCCCCGCCCGCAGCCCCGCGCGCACCCGCACCCACUCGCGCCGCAGGUGCCGCGCACUGCGGGGACCCUCAGAGGGAGAGUCGGCCCGGGAGCGCGGGGAGGGCCCGGGGUGCUAUGAGGGGUGCCGGGUGCGGGUCCCACUGCUGUGGACACGAAGCUAUUGCAAUUGCGGGGGCCCCAAGGAGGGAUGUCCCCGAGGAAGGACUGAGAUUGUCCGAGGAGCAAAGGCAGACCCUGGACGGCGGGAGUGGCUGCGAGUGAGGGGUCCGCAGCCUCACAGUUGUGCACAAGCGUCAGCCAUGCCAGCCGUCUGCGCCGUGUUCGUGGUUAUAUAGAAUUCUGCUGAGCAGGAACCAACCUUCCCGAUUUACGGAGGAGGCCACCGAGGCUCAGAGAAGAUCCCGGCUGCGAGGCCCCGUGGUUAACAAGCAGGAAACAGCCUUCCCUGUUCUGGAGCCCGGGGAACCUCCCUCGUCCCCGCUGAUGGCAUUUACUCGCUGCUGCACCGACACUUAGUGGGCGCGUCUCCUUAGCAAGCAGGAGCUUCUUGAAGAGAUGAGCAUGUUAGCAAACCAUCAUAAAGUACACCGUUGCAUUUGUUAUUUAACUUUCAUACGCCUCGAAACAACCCUCUCCACUAACUCACGGGAUGGGUCUGAAGCAAAAAUUGACAAGGGAAGUAUGAGCCCGUAGCUGAGCACGUGGAUUCUGCAGCUUGACUUUUGAGGCCCAAACCCUGGUUCUGUCACCUCCUUGCUCUGUGAUCUUAGGUAGCUUAGCAUCUCUCUGCCUUUGUUUCUCUAUCUGUAAAAUGGGCUUAAUCAUAGUACUUACUUGCAAGGCUGUGUGAGGAUUAAUUGAGUCAAUAUUGAUAAAACAUUCAGAAACUGGCAUCAUAAGGGCUUACGCAACUUUUAGCCUUUCUACUUUUGUCUACACAGCAGAACAGUAUGUGGCCACGUGAUUAAACUGUGUCAAGCAGGUGGAAAGCACCAGGUGCUUCCCCUCACAGCCAGGAGCUCCUGCGGGCCGGUCUUAAUUUACUUUCCCCUUUCGACUCCUUGAUAGCUGCAGGGGUGACGGAGCAAUGACCCAUUUGAAUGAAGAUGGCCUGUGCCAUCUGUGAGCCGGCACAAGGAGGACAAAUGGAUGGUAAAGGCCUUGGUGCUGGGGACAGGUCAUCGCAGACCAGCUGCUAGACAGCUCAGAGCCUCCUCAGGAGAUAACCUGCCAGAUGCAGACCUCAAGAAAGGCUACGGUCCAGGGGUCAUGACAUCUGGCAGGUGUGUGUGGUUCACACGUCUGUAGGAGAGCUUUGCCAACUUCUCCUGGACCCAUACUCCCAGCUUGCAUCAAAAUUUGUCACAGUUCACACCGACGGCCAGGAGGCCCCCCCUAGCUGUUCCCUCUGUCCUGUCCUCAGAAGGGGUGGGGCCUCAGGGAAUCCCCUCUCUGUCAAGUGCUGCAAGUUGGGAGUGGCGGCGGCGCUGUGCUCUCCAGGAAGGUGUGCAGAGUCCUUCUUCAGAACCUGUGAACAUGACCUUAUUUGGAAAUCAGGUGUUUUCAGGCCUAUCAAGGUAAGAUGAGGUCAUGUGCAGGGGUGCGGGGAGCCCCAAUCCAAUAUGACCGGUGUCCUUAGAGGAAGAGGAGAAGAGACACAGAGGCAGACAGGGAGGAGAUGGCCAUGAGGAUGGAGCCAGAGAUGGGAUGAGGCGUCUGUAAACU